This 485-nucleotide ribosomal RNA is filed under the name uncultured bacterium. RNAcentral's name for it is "partial 16S ribosomal RNA". It matches the Rfam family "Bacterial small subunit ribosomal RNA", at positions 28 to 523 of the family's 1533-position model. The record is from RNAcentral.
GAUGAACGCUGGCGGCGUGCUUAACACAUGCAAGUCGAACGGUGAAGCAGGAGCUCGCUCGUGUGGAUCAGUGGCGAACGGGUGAGUAACACGUGAGCAACCUGCCCCUGACUCUGGGAUAAGCGCUGGAAACGGCGUCUAAUACUGGAGAUGUGAUGUGACCGCAUGGUCUUCAUCGGGAAAGAAUUUCGGUUGGGGAUGGGCUCGCGGCCUAUCAGCUUGUUGGUGAGGUAAUGGCUCACCAAGGCGUCGACGGGUAGCCGGCGCUGAGAGGGUGAACGGCCACACUGGGACCGAGACACGGCCCAGACUCCUACGGGAGGCAGCAGUGGGGAAUAUUGCACAAUGGGAGGAAGCCUGAUGCAGCAACGCCGCGUGAGGGAUGACGGCCUUCGGGUUGUAAACCUCUUUUAGCAGGGAAGAAGCGAAAGUGACGGUACCUGCAGAAAAAGCACCGGCUAACUACGUGCCAGCCGCCGCCGUAA